This 433-nucleotide ribosomal RNA is filed under the name uncultured bacterium. Its description in RNAcentral is "partial 16S ribosomal RNA". It matches the Rfam family "Bacterial small subunit ribosomal RNA", at positions 29 to 507 of the family's 1533-position model. The record is from RNAcentral.
AACGAACGCUGGCGGCAUGCCUAACACAUGCAAGUCGAACGAGACCUUCGGGUCUAGUGGCGCACGGGUGCGUAACGCGUGGGAACCUGCCCUUAGGUUCGGAAUAACUCCCCGAAAGGGGUGCUAAUACCGGAUAAUUUCUUCGGACCAAAGAUUUAUCGCCUUUGGAUGGGCCCGCGUUGGAUUAGCUAGUUGGUAGGGUAAAAGCCUACCAAGGCGACGAUCCAUAGCUGGUCUGAGAGGAUGAUCAGCCACACUGGGACUGAGACACGGCCCAGACUCCUACGGGAGGCAGCAGUGGGGAAUAUUGGACAAUGGGCGGAAGCCUGAUCCAGCAAUGCCGCGUGAGUGAUGAAGGCCUUAGGGUUGUAAAGCUCUUUUACCCGGGAUGAUAAUGACAGUACCGGGAGAAUAAGCUCCGGCUAACUCCGUG